AGGGGAGGCUCGCUGCCCCUUGGAUGGGCAGCGAGCUGUGGGUUCCAGAGGCCAGGCUGCGGCCGCCCCCCGGGAUGGCAUCCCUGCUCAGAGCAGGGUGGACGUGGGCCUCCUAGGCUGACCUCACAGCAGACCAGGAGUCUGCCUGGAGAUAAUCAAGAUUGACACCAUGCCUUAGAACGCACCUUAGUACCCUGUCAUCUGAACACACCCGGACUGGUUUAACCCCCUCACGGCUGUCACGGGGGCCCCAGGUCCUUCCCCCGAGGGGAUGGGACAAGGCGUGCGGGGCAGGUUGCCCUGGGCUCCUGGGUUGCCUGGGUCUGCUUUCCUCUCACUGAGAAGGCCUCUUACUCUGCUCCUGAGGACUGAGCUGUCUGCCCUGCGCUGGUUGGCUUGUUCAAAUCAUUGUCCAAAUUCUUUUCCUGCACUUUCAUGGGGGCACUGGGAUGAUGGCAGAUGAGAGGACUCUGAGAGGUUGGUGACUUGUCCAAGAUCAGCUAGGAAGCAAGACCCAGGACUGCAAUCCAGGGUGGCCAGCUGGAACGAAGAAUUGUUCCAUGGAGUCUUAGCUCAUGGAGAACCUGAGGACUGGGUGACCAUCUCCCAUUUCUGGGCAGGAUAUUUGCAGCUUAAGCCUUGGGCUGCUGUGAGGAUCAAACAAGAUAAUGUAUGCUAAGGCGUGCUGUGAACACUACGUGCUGGGUGCAGGAGAAUGGAGGCCCUAGAGUGGGUCUCGUGACACUGUGUUGAUGAAGAUCUUGGCCGUGACCUCUGUGGGAAAUGAGCCAUGGACCAACCAACAUUCAGUCUGAUUUCCUCGUUAUCCGCUGAGGAAGACCUUGGCUGUCCCUUCUGUGGGUAAGGAGCAAAGUGACUCAUAAUAACCGUAAGACAGCAGACUUUACUCAUUUUCUAAGAAACAACAUCUUGGCAGUUAGCUCUGUGUGUAAAGACCGUAGACAGAAAUAAUGAACACAAAGCCAAUUUAAUCAUUCUCUAAUCCGGAAGACCUGGCUGAUAAUUCUGGGACUAAGAAGCGUAAAAACUUAUAUAUAGUGAACUACGGCAUGGCUGACUCAGUCAUUAGCCAGGCAUUACAGUCAACCAGGAGGUGAAGACUGAGAUAACUGUGGUCCAGUGAGGAAGAUCUUGACUGUUACUUCUGUGGAAUGAAGAUGAUGGUUGAUUUAAUCAGUCUCUGCUGAUGAAGAUCUUGGCUGUUACCUUUGUGGAAUGGAUGGAUGAUGAAUCAAUUACGGAGUGUAGAAACUUAUAAUGGAUGCUUCCGGCCAGCCUAAGCAUCUCCAUGGUCUUGAGUUGUCUGGUUGCCUAGGAGCAUAGAGAUCAGUAAUGUAUGCACUCGAGCUGAUUCCCUGUGGUUGGCUCCAUUGUUAGGAGCACAGACACAGAUAGUGGCCACACCAAGCUGAUGAAAGCAUGUUCCGUGAUUAGAGCUCUGUACGUAGGAGAUGGAGAUCGGUAAUGGAUGCACUACAGCUGAUUUCAGGGUUCUUCCAUGGUCACCAGACGUCUGCUUACUCCCAUGUGUUUGGUGCAUAGAGGGAAUGCGCACACCCAAGAUGGUUUAAAUAGUAUCCCUUGGCCAGUGAUCUCUACAUUUGCCUGUAGGAACAUGGAAACCAAUCGUGCUCAAGCAUCCUCCAUGGUCACGCCGCUCCGUUGUUGCCUCUCUGUGGAAUGAGCACAGAGACCGAUGAUGGAUAUGUGUGAACUGCCGUAGGUGUUUGGCUGUGAUCAGGUACUCGUGGGUGCCUGUGUGUGUAGGAGCACGGAGACCAACAAGGACAUCCUCAGGCUGGUUGAAGAAUUCUUUUUUGGUCACAAUCUCUCUGGUUGCAUCUGUGUUUCAGGUGUUAAGAGAGACCAGUAAAGAAGACACCUGACCCAGUGUAAGCGUCCCCCAGGUUCAGGCACUGCCGGCAAGCCUCUCUCUGUGGGAGCAUGGAAUCCAACAGUCAACGCACUCCCGCUGAUGGAAGCAUUUUCCAUGGUCAGGAGGUCUGUGAUUUCCCUUGUGUUCUAAGCCUAGAGAUGAAUAAUGGACGAACUCCAGCAGCUGGAAGCACUUGCAUGGAAGCACUUGCAGAAGCACAGCUGUCUGUCUGUAUGUUUGGAGCAUAGAGUAAUGUGAGUAGUAGUCAACGUGUUUGUCUUCCUCGGCUAGUGCUUUAUUUAAGAUCUUCACUAUAUCGUUAAGAAGUAUGAAGAAUAAUCAAGUAAGGGCAGCUGUAGCCCAGUGACAACUAUGGAGUUGAUUAUAUUGACUAAAGGGUUGAUUGUACUGAUUAAUGCAUUUACUAAAACGUUAUAGUUAACGAGAGUGAUGCACGGAUGUGAGAACGAGCCUAAGGACAGAAAAGAGAUAUCAGGGCUCUUUUUGCAUUUUUGUGAAUAAUAGCAUCUUAGAAUUAUUAUUAGUGAAUUAAUGAAUUAGUCAAUAAACAAUGUAGCACUGAAUGGAGAAAAAGAGGGACAAUACUGGCUCGAUGAUGACCGCUGAUGGCAUUAUGAGUCAUGUAUGAUGAACAAGUGUCUGGAACAGAAAUGCGGUCUAGGCGACAGUCCUGUGUGAAGUGAUCUCAUAGACAGAUACCAUGAGUAUAGAAAGAUCCUGUUUUGGGUUCAUGUUCAUGCAUUCGAUAUUUUUAGGAUUGGAUCAAUGAGAUGAUCAACAAACAGUCUAUAAAUAAGGAUAAAGGUCAUACAGCAUUGCCCAGUUACAAAAAUAAGUAGUGAGACAUGAAAUACUGUUAAUGUGUAUUAAAAACACACUCCUGUCCAUUAAGAAAUAAAAGAUACAAAGAUGUUGCCUCCCUGGCAAAGGACUGGGGAGGCAUGGUAGGGUAACAUGGGAGUGUUAAAUAGUAAUAAACAGUGUUCAUAUUCUAUGUCAAUGGCAAGGCCAUUAUUGUUCACUUAUUAGGAGACACUUAAUAAACAGUUCCCCUAAUUACACAUUCUCUACAUGACUGACGAGAUGAGACGUGGGUUGCAAGGCCAGUGCAGAGAAGGUCUAAAGCUUUUUGUUUUCAUCUGUUCUUCUCUGUACGCCAAAAAUGGACUGAUUCGAGCAUUCUUCCGUGAUCGCAAGAUCUAUGGCUGUGUCUGUGUGUUGGAGAAUGGAGAUCCAUGUGAGUCAUGAAUGGACACGCUUAUCCUGAUGGAAGCAUCUUCCAUGGUCAUGAACUCUGGGCCUGCAUCGAUGCACUGGGAACGUAGACACCAACAACCGGCGCGCUCCAGCUCCUUAACGCAUCUGCACAUGUCGCGGUUCUGUGCGCGCUUCUGUGUCGUGGGAGCGUAGCGAGCACUAAAGGACCUGGCAAGCAGAUGGAAGGAUUCUUCCUUGGUCAUGAGAUCUCAGGUUGCGUUCACGUGUUAGGAACAUAGAAACCAUAAUGGUCACCGUCAGCUGACGGAAGCGAUCUACCCUAGUCGCCAGCUUCUUGGUCGAGUCUGUGUGUCAAGAGCAUGGAGCCCAGUAAGAAACAGACACUUGAGCUGUUUUCAGCUUCCGCCGUGAUCAAGACCGUGAUGUUCCCUUUGAGUACUGAAAGAGAUGGAGGCGCAUAAUGGUCAAAAUGGUCGUCUUGGAAAGGGCCACUUGUUUCAGGAAUGAACGCGCACGAGAUGAUUCGGCGAUUUCCUGGGCGCGAGGUCUGUGGUUGCUUCUGUAUAACAGGAGGAUGGCGAUUAAUAAGAGACACUGGACCUGAUUUAAGGAUUUCUCCCUGGAUCCUGACCUCUACGUUUGCAUCUGUUUUAGGAGACUGGAGACCCGUAAUAGAAGGUCAAGGUGAUUUCUGCCUUCAUUUUGGUCCAGGUCACCAUGUUCCCUCUUAUAGGAAAGAGACUAACAAUGGACAGAUUCGAGCUAACCAAGCAUUAUUCCAAGGUGGCGAGCUCUACGAUAGCUUCGGUGUGACAGAGGCACAGGGUCCCAUGUACACUUCAGAACAGAUGCUCCGGCUGAUUUCACCUCUGCCCUGAUCACGGUCGUUAUGUUGCCUGCGUCUUAGGAGAGUAAAGCAAGCUGAUGUAAGCAAUCCUGCCUGGUGGCGAGCUCGGUGGUCGCAUCCCUCUCUUAGAUGCGCAGAGAACAGCAACGGACACACCCGAGCAGAUGUAACAUCUUCUAUGAUCCUGAGUUCUGUGUUGCCUCUGUAAUAGAAGGAUGGGGAUUAAUGACGGACAGGUUAGACCUGCGUAAGGAUUCUCCCCAAUCAAGGGCCCUCGGGCUGUAUUUUUGUACUGGGAUGACAGGAGACGGAUAAUGGACACACUACAGCUGACGGUAACAUUCUUCCAAGGUUGAUAGCCCUCUGCUCCCAUCUACGUUGGAGGAGUGUGGAGACCAUAACAGGUGCUUGAGCCGAUUUCGUCUUCCGUUGGGAAUCAGGGUUGUCACGUGACCUUCCUUUUGUGUUAGGAAAUGGAACAAGGAGAGUAAUGGUCAAAAAUUUUGUUUUUGUUUGGGUCAUUUGUGUGUGUUCAUGGUAUUAUUAAAAAGUAAUAAGUAUCAUGAAAAGGUUCACUAUGUGACGAAUAAAUAUGAUGUAAAACAUUGUAUUCAUUAAUUUAUUACAUAACAUUGAGUUUGGUUAAUGAAAGAAAUAGAUGCUGUGUUGGCAAUGGUUCUAUAUUAGAAGUUAAGGGCAUUCAGGCAUCUUAUUCUUUGGUUUUUGUAAAUUAUACUCAUGUUAAUAUUUUCAAUGAAUUAAUUAUUUAAUCAAUACAAGUGUAGAAAGGAGUUGAGAACGAGGGCAUCUCUAAUGGACCAGUGAUGAUGACAGGUGAUGGCUGAUUCAUGGAUGAUGGGCAGUGCGCAUCUGGGUAUCUGAGGUCCAACAUGAUAAAAACUGUUCCUUCUGUUCUGUUGGAUUCUGUACAUGGAUGUUAGGGAUAUACAAAGAUCAUGUUCUUAUUUUGAAUUUAUACGUUUGGGUUUGUUAUUAUUAGUGGAUCAAUGAUAGAACCACUAAAGAAAUAUGGAAAUUGAAAAUAUUUAUGUUCCUUAGGAAAUAAGUAGAGAAAGGAUGUUACCUUCUUAGCUAAGUGUUAAUACUGGUAAGAGUCUAGUCUCUCUGAGCCAGUGUCCAGUAUGACGUUGUUCCUUUUAUUAAGUGAAAAAAUAAGUGAGGAAAUGAAAUAUGGAAAGCAAGGGUCAGUGGAGAUAAGGUCUUAACUUUCUUUUUUCUCAUUGACUGUGUUUUGUACUUCUCUGGACAGACACACUGAGGAAGCGUUGUGUUAUGCUGGUGAAUCCAUGAUUACAUCUGUAUGUUAGAAGCACGGAGACCCAUAAGAAGAGGACAGAAGUUAAUAAUGGACACGCUCCAGCUUAAUGCAACAUUCUUCCAAGGUCACGACCCUCUGGUUGUGUCUGUGUUUUAGGAGUGUGGAGACUGUAAUGGAUGCGCUCGGGCUGAUUUCAUACCUUUGUGGGUGUGAGCUCUGUGGUUCCCACUGCGUGGCCAAAGGAUGCAAGUUAAUACACGGGGACCCGCCAUAAGGAUUUGUCCCUGAUCAUGGGCUUGAAGGUGGCGGUUCUGUUGCAGGAGUCUGGAGACGAGUAAUGGUCACCGUCAGCUGAUGGAAGCGAUCUACCCUAGUCGCCAGCUUCGUGGUCGAAUCUGUGGGUGAUAGCGUGGACCCCAGU
Lutra lutra (Eurasian river otter) is the source of this 5683-nucleotide long non-coding RNA. RefSeq lists it as uncharacterized. The record is from RefSeq and is a predicted model, not a curated record. The transcript has 46 exons. NCBI's taxonomy places the organism in Eukaryota, Metazoa, Chordata, Mammalia, Carnivora, Mustelidae.